CAACACUCUCUGAAAAAUAUCCCAAGGGGAGUAGACAAAAAAGAAUGGGAAUGGUUAGUAAAGGAACAUUUUAAUUCUUAAAGUUUUCAGGCAAGAAGCAUCAGGAAUGCAACAAACCGAUCUAAGUUGAAGAUGCUUCAUCAUAUUGGUAGCAAACCUAUUCGAGAGAUUAUUUAUCAAAAGGCUCAACUUGAGGAAAUAGUUCAAGAAGAUCCAUCUCUAUCUAGUAUAGAGAAUGUUGAAAAAUGUUGUGGACCACAAACUCGUAGCCAUGUAUUUGGAUUUGGGGGUGGAGUAAAGGCAAAA
This is a long non-coding RNA of Solanum verrucosum, 306 nucleotides long. RefSeq lists it as uncharacterized. NCBI's taxonomy places the organism in Eukaryota, Viridiplantae, Streptophyta, Magnoliopsida, Solanales, Solanaceae. The record is from RefSeq and is a predicted model, not a curated record. The transcript has 3 exons.